Molecule: ribosomal RNA, 487 nt
Filed under: uncultured bacterium
Lineage: Bacteria
Description: partial 16S ribosomal RNA
Rfam family: Bacterial small subunit ribosomal RNA
Source: RNAcentral
GAUGAACGCUAGCGAUAGGCUUAACACAUGCAAGUCGAGGGGCAGCACAAGGUAGCUUGCUAUCUGGGUGGCGACCGGCGCACGGGUGCGUAACGCGUAUGCAACUUGCCCUAUACAGGAGGAUAACCCGUCGAAAGACGGACUAAUACUGCGUAUGCUCACAACUUGGCAUCAAGUGGUGAGGAAAGAAAUUCGGUAUAGGAUAGGCAUGCGUCUCAUUAGCUUGUUGGUGAGGUAACGGCUCACCAAGGCAACGAUGGGUAGGGGAACUGAGAGGUUUAUCCCCCACACUGGUACUGAGACACGGACCAGACUCCUACGGGAGGCAGCAGUGAGGAAUAUUGGUCAAUGGGCGCGAGCCUGAACCAGCCAAGUCGCGUGAAGGAUGACUGUCUUAUGGAUUGUAAACUUCUUUUAUACGGGAAUAACAAGAGUCACGUGUGACUCCCUGCAUGUACCGUAUGAAUAAGCAUCGGCUAACUCCGUG